This 429-nucleotide unclassified non-coding RNA is filed under the name soil metagenome. RNAcentral's name for it is "partial contains 5.8S ribosomal RNA, internal transcribed spacer 2, and large subunit ribosomal RNA". The stretch from base 1 to 120 matches the Rfam family "5.8S ribosomal RNA", at positions 35 to 154 of the family's 154-position model. The record is from RNAcentral.
GAUGAAGAACGUAGCGAAAUGCGAUACGUAAUGUGAAUUGCAGAAUUCAGUGAAUCAUCGAAUCUUUGAACGCAUAUUGCGCUCUCUGGUAUUCCGGAGAGCAUGCUUGUUUGAGUAUCAGUAAACACCUCAACUCCCUUUUCUUUUUUGAAAUUGGAGCUGGACUUGAGUGAUCCCAACGCUUUCUUCCAAGAAAGUGGCGGGUUGCUUGAAAUGCAGGUGCAGCUGAACUUUUCUCUGAGCUAUAAGCAUAUCUAUUUAGUCUGCCUAAAAAACAGAUUAUUACCUUUGCUGCAGCUAACAUAAAGGAGACUAGUUCUUGUGCUGACUGAUGCAGGAUUCACAGAGACAGCUUCGGCUGACUUUGUAAACUCGAUCUCAAAUCAAGUAAGACUACCCGCUGAACUUAAGCAUACAAUAAGCGGAGGA